RNAcentral lists this ribosomal RNA (253 nucleotides) under uncultured bacterium. RNAcentral describes it as "partial 16S ribosomal RNA". It matches the Rfam family "Bacterial small subunit ribosomal RNA", at positions 524 to 776 of the family's 1533-position model. The record is from RNAcentral.
UACGUAGGGUGCAAGCGUUAAUCGGAAUUACUGGGCGUAAAGCGUGCGCAGGCGGUCGUGCAAGACAGGUGUGAAAUCCCCGGGCUUAACCUGGGAACUGCACUUGUGACUGCACAGCUGGAGUACGGCAGAGGGGGAUGGAAUUCCGCAUGUAGCAGUGAAAUGCGUAGAUAUGCGGAGGAACACCGAUGGCGAAGGCAGUCCCCUGGGCCUGUACUGACGCUCAUGCACGAAAGCGUGGGGAGCAAACAGG